RNAcentral lists this long non-coding RNA (836 nucleotides) under Vitis vinifera (wine grape). Its description in RNAcentral is "long non-coding RNA (VVIN_LNC008115)". Lineage: Eukaryota; Viridiplantae; Streptophyta; Magnoliopsida; Vitales; Vitaceae. The record is from RNAcentral.
UUUAAAUAGCUUUUUCUUGGAAGGAUCUAGGGCAUUGCAAUGCAGCUUGCAUCUAAGAACGUGACAAUCAGAGAGAUUCCCCCAGGCUCCUGUUGUCCCCAAUAUUGUAUUUAUAAUACUCUUCAUGUUUAACAAGCAUUGGACUUCUCUUAUUGGUGCUGAAUUCAAGAAAACGCCCCUUCCUCACGUGAUAGCCCUCACUAAUUUCAUAUUUCUCCCUUCACAAGAGCCACUCAUCCCAGAUUAUGUAAUUCCACCUCCUCAUGCAAAACAAAAUAAAUAAAUAAAUAAAUAACAAAAAAAAAAACUAAUGAAAAUUAUGAGAUUGGUAAUAAAAUAAAAUAUGAUUUAAAAGAAGAGAAAGGGAACAAUGAGAGACCAUAUUAUAUAAUUCCAUCAUUCAAUAAGGGGUCGUAUGCAUAUUUAAUGUCUAAACAAUUCUAACAAUUCUCUAUCAAGUAGGUAAAUAAAUAAAAGAAAGAAAAAUAAAAGAAGAAAAAAACGUAAUAGAAAUUAAAAAAAUGACUAAAUAAAUAGAUGAAUAAAUAAACAAAUAAACAAAUGAAUAGACAAAGUAAAUAUAAUCAUCAAAUGCAUGCAAUAAUGAUCAAGAGAAAAAAAAAAGUUGAGCCUCAAUGAAGUGUUUAAGCGGGCCUAAGGUGAACCUAAGUGUCCUAAAGUGAUCGGGAUAUUGUUUAAAUGACCUAAACAUGCUUAAGAACCAUCCGAAAAAAGGAAUGGAAAGCUUAAGUCUAAAUCAAAACUGCCAAGGGUCACAAUAAAAGGGCGGAUAAUCCCUUAACCAAAGUCUCCGAGGUGACUCAGAAAAAGGUAAG